This 72-nucleotide transfer RNA is filed under the name Spinacia oleracea (spinach). It matches the Rfam family "tRNA". From Rfam's summary of the family: Transfer RNA (tRNA) molecules are approximately 80 nucleotides in length. Their secondary structure includes four short double-helical elements and three loops (D, anti-codon, and T loops). Lineage: Eukaryota; Viridiplantae; Streptophyta; Magnoliopsida; Caryophyllales; Amaranthaceae. The record is from Rfam by way of RNAcentral.
AUCCUACUAGCUCAAUAGGUAGAGCAUUGUGCAAAGGCACAAAAGAUGUGGGUUCGAAUCCCACGUAGGUUA